CUCUCUUCUACAUGGAUACAUUUCCUUGGGUCCUGUAAGUGUUCACAUGCCUUGCCACAUGAAGACUGUGCACAGCCUGUGUCCCUGGCCCUGUGCACUGGUGUUAAGAUGACCUGGAGGGCAUAGUGUCACCUAGAUUACCCAGGUGGGAAAGAACAUAGGCAUCAUCCUCUUCUUUGUUCCUUGUUCAAUUCUCUAAGCGAAUAUCUAUUGAGCAGAGAUUUACUUGCAAGCGAAGCGAAGGUGAGACCUGGUUCACCAAGGCUCUACUUCUUUCUGGUGUAAAAUCUAAAAGGAGGGCAGAUAUCCAGUUGUUGUGAAUGAUAUUUUAAUGCUACACCUAAUAAACCUAAACCAAUACUAACAGUUUUGAUAAAAAUAUACAACUUUUAAGUGAAGACAGGCUCAGCAUUCCAAUCUGUCCUUUUCUUUCGGGCCCAGCUCAGCUCCUGUGCUAAACACCGUAACCACAGAGACCAAUGUGGCCCUGAAGAGGAGGAAUUUUUUUAGUAAUUUUAUUGCAUUAUAAGGUGCAAAUAGAAUAAAAUUCCUCACACUUAGAGUGAAAUACAGUAUCUACCUCAAAGGAAAAGAAUUAGAAAAUUGUUGGACUAGACUGAGUUUAAAAGAUGAGACUACAUUAAUUUUCUUGCUGUUGAGUUGGAAUGAGGCUUGAAAUGAAUGAAGUUUGUAGAAACAUGUAAUUUUUAUGUUUUCACCAAAGCUGAAAGGUGACUGCUAGUCACAUAAACUCCAUAUAACAUGGCAGAUCCGAGUCACCAGAGGAGUCUUUUGUCUCUUCUCUCAACUGAACCCUUGGGCUGUUUUGGGAAUCCUACCACCCACCCGUAGCCUACAGCAGGUAACUCAGCCCCCCAGUGUACCCUCACAAGGAACAACCUUUAAUCCCUUAUCUUGUCACAGGCUUUCUCCAGGGCAAUACAAUCCAGAUGGGACAGAAAGCCGCAGAGGCCUGGGGCCGCCGGGGCAGAGGACGCUAGGAGGAGGAAAAGCCUUUGUGGCCAGUGUGGAAAGGCGAACAAAGGCCUCUCCUCUCUCUCUUACUGCUCAAGUCAGCCUCGAUGGGUGUGUAUGUAAAUCUCCUGGAGUCCAUUCUGGAAGGACCUGGACUCUAACUUAGCAAUACAAGGUACACCAACGGAAAUUCACUGUGUGUACAAAUGCCAUCAUUUCACUGGAAGAUGCCAAACUUUGAAUGAGGAGUGUCUCCACUGGCUCCAUCUCCCGGGAUUCCAUUUCUGGGCACUGCACAGCACAUCCCAAAUCAGCCAGCCUCUAUGUGGAGGUUGAAGGUGUCUCAAUCCUGCCACCCAGAGCAGGGUUCCCAUCUUGGUUCAGGCAGAUGGGAGAGGUGUAAGAGGGACGUCUCUCAAACAUUUGCCUACCACUGUAGGUCCUCAAUAUCAAGACCACUUCAAUCUCAGGAAAUGCCAGUCUGUAACCAGGUCUAUAUGGAAGAAGAAAGGUUACCUUUUCUCUGAAAGUAUAUUUAUAUUUUUUCUAAUUUCUAUAUUAAAAGUUACAAUCUCAAAGUUGUAAACAUAAAGCUACCAUAUGACAUAGUAAUCUAGGCAUAAACCCCAAAGCAGGACAACGUGUGUGCACAAACUGUAUGCACAUAUCUAUCACCUAAUAAAUGAAUGAGUAAGAUGUGGUGUGUCUACACAAAAAGAAAUGAAGUAGUCAUCCAUGCUACAAUCUGGAUAGAAAAUACUGUGCUAUGUGAAAGAAGCCAGACAUAACAAGUGAGUCUAUUUAUGUGAAAUAUCCUAAAUAGGCUCCCAGAGGUUGAGGGGUGGGGAGCAGAGAAGAUAGUGAUUGUUAAAAGGGUAUGGUUAAAAUGUUCCUGAAUUUGACAGUAGUGAUGGUUACCUAGUCUGAGGAAUAUACUGAAAAACAUGCAGCCACACCAAUAUUUAUAGCAGCUCAAUUCACAAUAGCUAAACUAUGGAACCAAUCUAGGUGUCCUUCAAUAGAUGAAUGGAUAAAUAAAAUGUGAUUU
RNAcentral lists this long non-coding RNA (2023 nucleotides) under Marmota monax (woodchuck). The record is from RNAcentral. Lineage: Eukaryota; Metazoa; Chordata; Mammalia; Rodentia; Sciuridae.